GUCAACUACCCGGGCUUAAAGCCCAGGCUUGAGGCAUUAGCCUCUUGCUUAGUUGAUAAGCCUCAGCUCUUCAAGAGCUACGUUACAUAGCAAAUAUACUAUAGGCACCCCGGGAUGCUCCACAAGUUCCGGGCA
RNAcentral lists this small RNA (135 nucleotides) under pig gut metagenome. Its description in RNAcentral is "HNH endonuclease-associated RNA and ORF (HEARO) RNA". It matches the Rfam family "HNH endonuclease-associated RNA and ORF (HEARO) RNA", at positions 1 to 124 of the family's 211-position model. The record is from RNAcentral.